AGCCCUCUGUAUCCGUGCUGAGAUUUUGUCAGAGAUCAACCCGUCGGGGCUGAUAGCACUUCCCAAAUAAGUGAAGCG
RNAcentral lists this microRNA precursor (78 nucleotides) under Trichobilharzia regenti. Its description in RNAcentral is "mir-3492 microRNA precursor family". It matches the Rfam family "mir-3492 microRNA precursor family". The record is from Rfam by way of RNAcentral. Lineage: Eukaryota; Metazoa; Platyhelminthes; Trematoda; Strigeidida; Schistosomatidae.